RNAcentral lists this ribosomal RNA (368 nucleotides) under uncultured bacterium. RNAcentral's name for it is "partial 16S ribosomal RNA". It matches the Rfam family "Bacterial small subunit ribosomal RNA", at positions 338 to 698 of the family's 1533-position model. The record is from RNAcentral.
CCUACGGGGGGCAGCAGUGGGGAAUAUUGCGCAAUGGGCGAAAGCCUGACGCAGCGACGCCGCGUGAGGGAUGAAGGUCUUCGGAUCGUAAACCUCUGUCAGCAGGGAAGAACGGUCACUGUGCUAAUCAGCAGUGAAUUUACGGUACCUGCAAAGGAAGCACCGGCUAACUCCGUGCCAGCAGCCGCGGUAAUACGGAGGGUGCGAGCGUUAAUCGGAUUUACUGGGCGUAAAGCGUUCGUAGGCGGUAUGUCAAGUCAAGGGUGAAAUCCCCGCGCUCAACUUCGGAACUGACUUUGAGACUGGCAAACUGGAGUGUGUGAGAGGUAAGUGGAAUGCCAGGUGUAGGAGUGAAAUGCGUAGAGAUC